Gasterosteus aculeatus (three-spined stickleback) is the source of this 1879-nucleotide long non-coding RNA. NCBI's taxonomy places the organism in Eukaryota, Metazoa, Chordata, Actinopteri, Perciformes, Gasterosteidae. The record is from Ensembl.
CGUCUCCCCAUAUUUCAAGGAAACCGCUCACCCGACUGACUCGGCUACCCCUGAGGCAUGUUGUGUUAAAGAAACACCUAUGCAGGUGGAUCUUACACUAAUGAAUGUAGGGGAUGGAGGCACGGUGAGCAGACAGAUCAGUGCUCCAAUUAAAGCGUCUGCUAGUAUGGUGGGAAAUCCCCCCCAGACGCUACCCUCUGAGUUCAGAGGAGAUGUUACCCUCAGUCAGCAAAACAAGAGCACACCAACAACAGACUGUAAGACCGCGAAAGCCUGCCUGGACACUAGCAAUUACAACCACAGCCCCGAGCUGUCUCCACCUCUGCAGCCCAACAAUGCACCGACGUCCGGCUCAGAGAAGAGAGCGGACAAAAGGGCCGAGGCCCCUAAACCCAAGUCGGACGGCGCCGCCGUCCUCCCCGCCGUCCUCUCCGCUCCCCAGUGGUCGAGUGGAGAGGACUUGCUCAGCCCCGGUCGCGGCGCGCCGACAGCCAGCAAGAAAUCACACCCGCCGACGCAAUCUGCGCAAAGUGCACCGCCCGGGUUUCAGUGCUCCACCAAGUUCAAACCAGCCCAGCCGGUUGCCUUCCUUCCGUCCACAAAUUUCCCCUCUCCGCUCUGUAAAAUCACUCUUCCACCAGCAUUGAGUCAGAUUUCAGCAUUUAGAGACGCCACAGCGGGUCAGUUCCAGAAAGAGAUUCCGCCCCAGAGCUCAUGUGUCGGAGGGACACCUCUCGUGCGGACGUAUCCCUACCCCUUCUCGGUGGGCAGGACUCCGGCUGCGGAGAAAAGAGCCGGCGCGUCGAAGCUCAAAUCCAACCAUUCGUCUAAUAAGCAUUCUAAAUCCGUGGGCGAGCAUAAAUCUUUAGCGUCAGUGGUGGCCUCACCGGCUGUUGCCCUACCGUUGCAGCAGCCUUCAUUAACUCCCGCAGCACCCUCCCGCUACACGCUGUCUCCCACCGCUGCCAUUUGCUGUGGCUCCGCACUCGCCGGCGUCACCUCUCAGAGCAGGCUGCUGAACCACGCGGAGAAAAGCAGCAGCCUAGACAAGACCACCGUGGGCUCUCCUAAAACGACCCCCGCCUCUGCUUCAGACGACACUGCGGCGUGUCCCGUCGAGCCGAGAGACGUGCCUCUCGAUUUAUCUGCUAAAUCCAAACGUCCGAAGUGCAUCGACGACCCUCUAGUUGCAACGAUCGAGCCUCAUAAUAGUGAGCCGAAUCAGAAAGAUUUUCUGAACGCAAAGCGGGCUCAUUCCACGACGUAUAGCCCGGCUGCACAAUACCCCGUCCUACCGAACACCCACAGAAAUGGAUCCCAUCAAAAGCAGUCAAAUCGGCCUCAGAAUCACCAGGUCCAAGAGCCCAAACCAGCGUGGGGUAAGGGAGCUUCUCAAGACUCCAUAAAAAACAUCCCUGGAACAUAUGUUGGCGUGGCCAGCCCAAUACUGGCUUCUACUCUGCGGGGCAAGGACGGAAAAGGGACUUUUGUAGAUGAAUAUCAGAGUUUCGCCAAGCAGGAGUUUAUAUCUAUAAUCGACCAAGGGGAGCACCUGGCAUCCGGAGGAAAGAAGCCAUCCUGUAUGACGAAGGGCCACCAACACGCUCACAGUGUCAAGCAUGUAAAAAACACCAGCGUAGCCAUAACUAAGGACUGUCCCGCUAAAGGAGCCCUGACUACCGCCCUGUCGAGCUCUGCCAGGGCUCAGGCCCAUCAGAAAUCCGGCGCUGGCAAAACGGCAGUGCCGUACUCUCCCGCUGUCGUCGGUGCAGCCUGGCAGCAGCCUCCGAGUGUGCUGCACCCGGCCUCGCCCCCCUCAGAGGAAGAUCCCACAAGGAUCUCCGCAGGCGAAGGGUGCCUCCGCCACGGAAAGAUGUAA